GCCUGAGGUAACUCAGUUGGUAGAGCAGGAGACUCUUAAUCUCGAGGGUUCGAGACCCAUAUGGGGCA
Podarcis lilfordi (Lilford's wall lizard) is the source of this 68-nucleotide non-coding RNA. The record is from the annotation of a GenBank genome assembly. Lineage: Eukaryota; Metazoa; Chordata; Lepidosauria; Squamata; Lacertidae.